UGGGGAAUUUUGGACAAUGGGCGAAAGCCUGAUCCAGCAAUGCCGCGUGUGUGAAGAAGGCCUUCGGGUUGUAAAGCACUUUUGUCCGGAAAGAAAUCCUUGGCUCUAAUACAGUCGGGGGAUGACGGUACCGGAAGAAUAAGCACCGGCUAACUACGUGCCAGCAGCCGCGGUAAUACGUAGGGUGCAAGCGUUAAUCGGAAUUACUGGGCGUAAAGCGUGCGCAGGCGGUUUGCUAAGACCGAUGUGAAAUCCCCGGGCUCAACCUGGGAACUGCAUUGGUGACUGGCAGGCUAGAGUAUGGCAGAGGGGGGUAGAAUUCCACGUGUAGCAGUGAAAUGCGUAGAGAUGUGGAGGAAUACCGAUGGCGAAGGCAGCCCCCUGGGCCAAUACUGACGCUCAUGCACGAAAAGCGUGGGGAGCAAAACAGGAUUAGAUACCCUGGUAGUCCACGCCCUAAAACGAUGUCAACUAGUUGUUGGGGGAUUCAUUUCCUUAGUAACGUAGCUAACGCGUGAAGUUGACCGCCUGGGGAGUACGGUCGCAAGAUUAAAACUUAAAGGAAUUGACGGGGUCAUAGCUGUUUCCU
Molecule: ribosomal RNA, 589 nt
Filed under: uncultured bacterium
Lineage: Bacteria
Description: partial 16S ribosomal RNA
Rfam family: Bacterial small subunit ribosomal RNA
Source: RNAcentral